Molecule: ribosomal RNA, 116 nt
Filed under: Lepidostoma ebenacanthus
Lineage: Eukaryota; Metazoa; Arthropoda; Insecta; Trichoptera; Lepidostomatidae
Description: partial 16S ribosomal RNA
Source: RNAcentral
AAAAUUUUAAAAGUCGAACAGACUUAAUAUUUAAACUUUUGCAUUUAAAAUUAAUUUUAAUCCAACAUCGAGGUCGCAAUCUUUAAUUUUAAUAAGAACUUAAAAUUAAAAUUACG